CGGGGCGGGAGGGGAGGAGAGCCCCGCCCGCCCCGCACAAAGGCGCCCGGCCCCUCCGAAACUUUGCGCCCCGGGAGCUCAGGCCCGGCCAGCCCGUGACAGCGGUGACCCACGCCCCCGCCGCACCGGCCCAGAUCGGGCGCCUCGCCUCGGGCGCCCACGCGGAGCAGCGGCUCCCCCUUAGCAGGCGGCCGGGCCGAGCCCACUCCCCGCGCCGGAGCAGCGAGCGGCACGGCAGGUCCGAUCCUGCGUACUUCCCAGCAGUGAGUGAUGAUGAGCCCAUAGGCAAAAGGGACAGCUGUGAGAAGGAAAAUCCAACCGUGCCCAGAGGUCGAGGCGCCCGGCGCGAUCUCCCACACUCCACCACCCCGCGCACCCCGGGACUCCGGCGCUCGGCUCGCCCUUCUGCCCGACGCCCUUCCCUGUGUAGCCACCUGCACUUCUGCACACAGGUGACCAACGCGAGGAGCUCUUCUCCGGGCACGUCUUCCCUGACGCUACCUUUCUUCGCAGCGUUUGUCAGCAAGACAGCAUUCCUGCCUGAGGUGCGAGUUCCGCCCCGGGAGGGAAGCCCCGGCCUCCUGUUCCCCGCGCCGCGCAGCUCCGUGUGCUGCAGCCUGGUGCGUGGCUCCGGAUCACAGCGGGACGACGGGCCCGACACCAGGUGUUCUCCACUGCUUCCAGGUUCACACUUAGAGCAAGGCUCUGAAACAGUGCUGGUGAACCCAUGGCACACGUGCGCAGUAGGCUGUUUGAUAUUACUGAAAGCUCUAAAAGGUUUUCCAGCGCUGCUCUAAAACCAACGCUGCCCCUGCCCUGCUGAAAUACAGACUCCUCCAUCCACCAGCUGUGUGCCUGGGCCUCAGUUUCUUCAUCUGUAGAAGAGAAGUGAUUGUGGCAUCCAUCCCCUGUAAUUGCUGCCGAGGUCAUGUGAAGCCUGACAAAGAGAAUAUUACCAGGCAUGGAUGCUGUCAUGAUAUCAGACUGCUACAAUAACUGUUUUAAAAUGCUGAGGAAGAAGACAUUUUCAGGACUCUCUGGUGAGCUUUCUCUUGGAAGAAAGGAGUGGAUGCCCAGAGCAAGCAGGAUAUGGAAGAUGGAAGAUGGAAGAUGGAAGAUUCUGGAAGAUGCAGGUUAACAGCUGGAAGAAACAUUUGGAAAAGAGUCUGCAAUGGGAGAGCUGUAUAUUGUAGAAAACUUAUCACUGUGCCAUCAGAUAAAGCAAAUCUCUUUAAAAAUCAUUUUUACUAUAGCUAUUAAAAUCUAACAUCUAUUACAAUUUCUAUCAGACAGGUAUCUGCGGUUAUCAGGAUAUUGUGUUCCUCUGAGGUGGAGUAUGGCCAUCGUCACAUGGAAGUGGUCUUUAUUUCAGAGUAAAAAUAACUGGUUUUCAGUUCUCUGAGGUUCUCAAUACGUAGAGGGCAGGGAAACCAAAUUAUUCUUCAUUGAUCCCAUGUUAACUAGCACAUAAGCCCAAUAAUGGGGAGAAAUGUGGAAAAUUUUCUUUUUAUGAGAGACAUGCCUAUAGUGGAGAUCCAUUUUUAGAGUAAAAAUUAAAUUAUUAUAUGCAAGGAAACAAAAAAAGAGUGAAUGAUGUAUUAUUUAGAAUUUUAGCUUGAAGAGCAAUUUGGAUAAAAGGGACAACAGACACAAUAGGGGAGGAAAGAUAGUAGGGAACUGUUUCUUUAGGAAAAAUAACAGAGAAGAAAUUCAAAACAGGUCGUUUGGAUUCAUGCCCUUACGUUCAGUUCACAGGCACACUUAAUAAAUAAAUGCAAACUGUUAUAAUUAACAUGACAAAAGAAGAUGUUUCUAAUGAUGCUAUAAUUAUUAGAAGAAACUCCUUGUUUAACGAUUCAUUCCUCUCAUAGGAGAGAUCGGGUGUAUGUAAAUUUUCCAAAGUAAGCUAUUCAGCCCUCUCAUAUCUGUGUCUCACCCGUAUCUUACAAUAAUAAAUAUAUAGUUCAUAUUUACUGGAGACAUUAGGCCCAUGAAGCAGAGAGGGACAAGUAGCCCUUGAAAGAAAACAAAAGGACAAAGAAGUUCAUGCUAGUUAUAUGAUCACUACUAAGCAUAUCAUUGUCGCAGGUCAUAUGUUCUACAAGUUGCCACGGAAGUGUUCAGUCUUCUUUCUACUCUUUCAGAACCUUACCAUCCUCUCACCAGAGAACUGGAGUUUAUCUCCCUUCCCCUUGUAACUGAAGGCUGUGUGUAGGGUUGCAACGCAUAGAAUGCAGCAGAAGAGAUUGAGUGACCUCGGAGACUCAGUUAUAAAAGAUCACAUGGCUGUCACCCAGCUCUUUCUCCUGGAUGGUCACCAUUGCUCCCAGCCUCCAUGUUGUGAGGAAGCCCAGCUCACAGUGAGGUUGCAUGUCAACAGUCCCGGCUAUGGUGUUACACAGAGAUAAAGAACUAGAAAAGCUAAUUUGGCCAAGCAGGAGAGAAAUGACAUCUCCCAAUAUGGACUACAACUGUAGAACAGUUGAGAAUAGCAGUGUGUAGAGCACAAGGAGUUUAUUUUAGGUAAGCUGUUGUUUCAGCACAAUACUUACAUCACAGUGGGGACAUAGCACAACUUCAUUUAAUUACAUGGAAACCACAUACUGAUGAAACCAGGUAUCUCGACUUUCUGUGUUUCACUCCAACAAGAAGAUUAAAGAGUCAGUACAAGUAAAGGGGACCUCUGUUACCUAAUCUCUCACAAAUUCUUUCUCCUGUGCUUUCGGUGAUAGCACGCUAUCAUUAUUUCUCUGCAGUUAACGAACUACUAUAUCAUGUGCUUGAUUGAGCUGCCGCUGAGGUUCUUUAGCUGCUUGUUGCAUGGGAAAGGUAAGGAUUGUGUCUGGCUGAGAACAGGAUGCGUCUUCCCCAGAGUGGCAGAGUUAGCACAAGAAUGGAGAAGUCAAGCAAGGGGAGCCAAGCAGCAUCUUCCCAGAGAUGGAUAAAGAGGGGUGCACCUCUUGCUCUACUUAUUCUUUAGCUGUAAGGACACCAGCAGCCAGUUCCUCCUGGAAAAAGUCUGGACUCAUAGAGCCAGGCCAUGGAAUGAGAGGCUCCAUCCAGAGCGAUGGCCCACAAGACCCCAUGGCCAGUCGUGCCCCAUGCUACUUGUGUCCCCUGUUUUCUAGCUAGGGAUCCAAAAACUGCCUUUUUUGGCUACUUGUCAGCAAUAAGCCCUAAAUGGUAUUUAUGGAAACCGUUCAGCCAAUAUGAAUCAUUUUGAGACAUGCACAUAACAGGAACACAAACGCAUGGUUAUCACAAUGUUCUCUUGAGAGGCAAAACGCUCAGGAAAAUACAGCGGGAAAUUAGGCAACUCAGAUCAAAUCACAGCAACUGUUCCAGAACAGCACCUAAAAAGGGAGAUAACUCAGAAACAUUAGAAAAUUCUAAAUGAAAGGAAUUCUAACAUAAAAUCACAAACACAAAGAACCUCAGUAUUACACAAAAGACCUAAAAAGAAAAAAGACAGGAAGGAAGGAAUGAAAGGAAGUGAAAGAAAAGAAAAGAAAGUCAUUUCUAUUCCUUGAUAAUAAACUUGUUGCCAUCUGUUUCACAGUAACACGAUGGUUUCAUUUCCUCCAAAUGAAGCAAAUAUUGGAUAUCAAAAAUUGAGUUGCAAAAAUAAUUGUUUUAAAGGAAAUAAAAGAGGUUAGGCCCUAAACAGUGAUGGAUGGCCCAAAGUAACAUUUUUUUUCCUUGCAGAUAUUUUAAUGAUAAAUGGAUUCUCUAGUCAGAAGUACAUUUUGUACUAAAAGAGGGAAUAAGAGGAAUUUACCCAGAAAGUUGUAUGAACAGCCACGGGUUGUCUUGGGCUAUUGUAAUUCAAGAGUUUGUGAGAAUUCAAAAGGUGCCAAGGCUGAUGCAAAUCAUACCAAAGUUAUAGGAAUGGCCUUUUUAUUUGCAUCCCGAGCAAGGACAGUAAAAAAGGGACCAGUCCAUUUCACGGAUCAGAACGUAGAAAACUAAGUGGUGUGAAGUGGGUGCGGUUCUAGUUCGCUGGCAUCUUCUAUCAACGAGAAUGACUUCCACCCUGGGAAAGGUGGAAUAGAUAGGGCUGUCGGAGUGGAAACCUGAGGUGGAUUGGUAGGUAGUAGAGUGCCAAGGUGCUGAGGAGAGAAGCUCUUGCCUCUGAGUCCAGAGCCUGGUGCCCUGUGUCAUCACCUCUGUGGUCCCCAGCUCAGGGGAAACCGGCAGCACUGGCCAAGGAGGGGCCGGGCAGCUCAGGGAUGCAGUGGGUGCUGCAUAUGUGGAGGGCCUGGGUUUGAGUCUAAGCAACCCCUCCCCAAGAAAGGUCAUUAAAAGUCACUCAAAUUUGUUUUAAAGUAGUAAACUUAGAUGCUAGGAAACUAGACUUUUAUGUAUUUAAAAAUUGUAGGACUUAGUAUUAAAUUAGUUUAACAAACAUUUAGUCAAAAGCCAAACCAAAAGUAAACAAUGAUUGCUAGACGCAGAAGUGCACACCUAAAUUCCCAUCACUUUAGAAGGCUGAGGCAGGAGGAUUUUAAAUUCAAUUCCUACCUGGGCCACCUCCUGAUACUACGUCUCAAAAAAUAAAAUAAAACACUAAAAUGAAAGAAGGCUAUGGAUGUGAACGCCCUGCGUUCAAUUCCCAUUACAAGAAAACAAAAACAAAAACAACAAGAAUAACAAAAGACAAAAAUAGAAAACAAACCACCGAUGAUCCUGUAGAGAUAGCAGAGGUUCAUCAACAAUACACUAUGAACCCUAGAGCACUUUGUUUUCACAAAAUAUUGUAGCAAAGGAACAACAAUAUAGAGCCGUUCUUACGGGUUUCAUUGUUACAGUGUACGCAAAUACACCAGCCCGAUUACCCUACAGGUGGCAACACACAAAGUCGUUCAUGUAAACAGGCCUGAAACUACGAAAAGCCGUGCAGAUGGAUGAGGUAGUAGAAUAUAAUGAAGACAAAAUAGACUCUGGAGCUAAAUGGCCUGGUUUUGCUAGCUCCCGUCUGACUUGGGGGCCAACCACCUAACUUCCCGCACCUUUAGAUGGAGAGUAGUAGCGCUGUUGGUGACUAAAUGUAAAGAACUUGGAUCAGGUCUGGCACAAAGUCAGAACAGCUAGCACUAAAGGGAUGCUAACUUUUUGUCACUGUCAUUAUUUCUCAAAUUAGAACAAAGUGGGAAAACAAACUAGGGAACCAUGAAUAUGCAUAUUUGUUCAGACCGACAAAACAGAAACAAGUAAGUAUACCAAUUAUUAAGCUGAUAUCAGGAUCAUUUACUCUUUUUCUUCUUUUUCAAUUGUUAUUUUUAUUAGCACAUAUUUGCAGUACACAUUGAUCAACGCCUUGCGGGGAGCUGGCCCAGGUACCUAACACAUCCGCAUUCAUUUUUCAUCCUCUUCUCUCCCCUUCCUCCAUGUCUUGGUCUCCUUCCCAUUUGCAAAAGAUCUAUCUCCCUAUUUUCCAUUAUCUGUCUUUUAUUUGCCUCUUUAUUUAUACCUAAGGCUUCUCAUAUAAGAGAAACCCUUAAUAUUUAAGCUUGUGUGUCUGAUUUUACUUGACAUGACGGUCCCCACGCGCAUGCAUUUUCUACAAGUGACUCAUGUUUCUCAAAUGAAUGUUACCUGAAAACCUAAUGUGUGCCAUCCCCAGAGAAAGCAUGAGAGACACAGGGAUGGAGACAGCAAGUCUUUGAAGGCUCUAGCACUGGGACAAGCAGGAACUGCUCCUUUCCAGGUUUGGAGCACUGGCCUCUGCACUACAUACAGCAUGCUUUGAGAGGCUUGGAUGGAACACAGGCUUUGAUAUAGCAUGGUUUCUCUUAUAUGAGAAACUCAAAAUAUAAAUAUAUGAAAGAGAAGAAUAAAAGGUGGAUGAUAGAAACAGGGAGAUAGAUCUUUUGCAAAUGGGAGGAAGACCAAGAGAUGGUGCAGGGGGAGAAAGUGGAAGGGGAAGCAAUGAAGAUGUGUGUGUACAUCACUGACUCCUCACAAGGGAUGUAACCAUUAUGUACCGCAAACAUGAGCAGUAAAGAGAAUAAAAAACUCAUUGCAAGAGUGGAAUCGAAAUGUGCAUGGUAGUAAAUCAGAAAAGAAAAAUAUUUGGACAAAAGGAGCCAAAGGUCUAACCAAAAGAAGAUAAACUUUUAGUGAGGAUAAAGCCAAAUAGUGUUUUUAUUUGCAAGUGUAAUUUUAUUUUAAAAUAAUGUAUAUUGAUAUAGAUGGAUUAGAAAUUGAAAAUUUCACCUUUAAUCCUAACAUAUCUAUAGUCUUUAUACCAUUUGUAUAAAUAUGAAUACCUUCAUAAUUAUAUGCGUAUUUUAUGUACAAAAGGAUAUGAAAAGUGAAUCUAUUUAACUUAACACUGAAUUAUGAUGCUAUUCUAUUCUGUAGCACACUUAGUUCCUGUGAAAAUGUGUAUGUAUCACAUCAUGAGAUAUCUCUGGAUAUGAAGUGCAGUGGUACGUAACACAAAUUCUUUACAAUCCCAGAGCAGCUUCUGAUUGUUUGGGGCUGACUUCCUUUUCCCUUUCUUCCUGGGCACACAGCAAGACUACAUUUUUUGCUUCCCUUGCAGCUAGGAACAAUUUGGUGACUAAGUUACAGCCAAGAGGAAAUGAACAAAAGAGAUGGGAGAGUCCUGAUGCGAUUUUCCAUGCUCUUUACUUUUCCACCAGGGAGUAACUUUGAAAGUUGCAAGUUAAAGAUGAUACAGCUAUAAUUAGGAAAGACCAGACUUGCACCAUAGUUAGAGAAGAGGUGUCACAGGACUCAGAGAUAAACAGUUUCCCUUUUCCACCCGUCAUUUUUUGGUUUACUUGUUACUGCAACUAGCACUAGUUCAAAAAAACCCAGAUACUGAAAACUUUAAAUUGUGCCCACUUGAUAGCUGCUGUCUAGUAUCUCUUCAGUUGGAAUGUCUUUGAGGGUCAGCUUUGACAUGAUAAAAGACAGAAGAGAUUUGGCUGACUGAUAGUGGGACAUGAACCUAUCGCUGGAUUGACUUGGAGUGGGCUGGGAGAUGAUGCUCAGGACGGGGCAGCAAGUCAUCCUGCAGUCAGACCAGCUGGGACUGCACAUCCAGAUCACAGGCCUCAGGAAGGACAGCUGGCCACUGCAGCUCAGUGGAGAGGACGGGACCUUGUCCUGGGCUACGGACACCAUGGGGACUGAGGGCUGCACAGCAAGAACGGUACACGCCUCUCUUGAGAGGGUUACACUAGUCACGAACUCAACACGAAGCACAGCUAGGCUACCUUCAUAGCAGGCAGUAUAACUCCAAACUGAAGAGAAGAGAAACCACGCCUUAUGGAACGGAUUGUAUCACCUUGUAAAUAUUUUCAGUUGGCGUCUUUCGCCACAUGAAACAAACAGGAAGUUCCAUGCAAACACUCAUGAGCACACCCCGUCAUACCUGCUAUAGCGUCUAUUGGAAGAAACUGACUUCUCAAGGAUAAAGCUAAUAAUGAAAGGUAACAUUCAUGAAGUGCUUAGAUUGUACUACAUCCCAUUCUAAUUGCUUUUUUGUUUUAGAGUCAAUAUUUAUUCUAUUCUCUUUAAAACUUUUAUUUCUUAUCAGUAUAUGUUUGCAGCCCAUAAAGAUUACACUCAUCAUGGAGAGUUGGUGCGUGCAUGUAACACAUCUCAGUUCUUUUUCUGUUCUGUCUCACCCCCACCAUCACUAUUUACAAAAGACCUAUCUCCUUGUUUCCUGUUUUUGGU
Molecule: long non-coding RNA, 7692 nt
Filed under: Heterocephalus glaber (naked mole-rat)
Lineage: Eukaryota; Metazoa; Chordata; Mammalia; Rodentia; Bathyergidae
Description: lncRNA (ENSHGLG00000037679.1)
Source: RNAcentral